This 427-nucleotide ribosomal RNA is filed under the name uncultured bacterium. RNAcentral's name for it is "partial 16S ribosomal RNA". It matches the Rfam family "Bacterial small subunit ribosomal RNA", at positions 354 to 796 of the family's 1533-position model. The record is from RNAcentral.
GUAGGGAAUUUUGCGCAAUGGGCGAAAGCCUGACGCAGCAACACCGCGUGAGCGAUGAAGCCCCUUGGGGUGUAAAGCUCUGUCAGUAGGGAAGAAUAAAUGACUGUACCUACAGAGGAAGCAUCGGCUAACUACGUGCCAGCAGCUGCGGUAAGACGUAGGAUGCAAGCGUUGUCCGGAAUUAUUGGGCGUAAAGAGUUCGUAGGCGGUAUGUCAAGUCUGGUGUUAAAGACUGAGGCUCAACCUCAGGAGGGCAUUGGAUACUGGCAAACUAGAGUGCAGAAGAGGCAAGGGGAAUUCCCAGUGUAGCGGUGAAAUGCGUAGAUAUUGGGAGGAACACCAGUGGCGUAAGCGCCUUGCUGGGCUGUUACUGACGCUGAGGAACGAAAGCCAGGGGAGCAAAUGGGAUUAGAAACCCGAGUAGUCC